GUCUCCUUUAAGAUUUCUUCUUAUUUUUAUAUGCCUGGUUGUGCUUUUCUUUUUAAUCAUCAUGCUUGGGCUUCCACAUACAUCAUGGAUCUGUCAUUUAUUGUCUUUCAUUAGUUUUAGUAAAUUCUUAGUUAUUGUCUCUUCACAUAUUUUCUAGGCCCUGUUAUUUCUCUUUAUUGCUUCCGGGACUCCAAUCAAACAUAUGCUACACUUUCAAUAAUGUCCUAUGUAUGGCUCUUGGAUCAACUUUUGGAUCGGAUCUUUCCACUAUUUACUUCUCCUUUUUAAAAUUAGUAUUGCCAUAUUUAUAUUGCACUUUGGGGCUAGUUUUCAUGAAGAAAGGUGCGGAACAUUUCGAUUAAUAUGAAUUCUAACUAAUAAGAAUGCAUCAUAUCUUAAACUGGCUGGAUCAAGUAAAAUGUGACUUAUUUCUCUCCCCUCCAGAACUUGCUGCAGUCACUUGAGACUUUCAACUUCUCCAUUUCACAUGGAUCUUUUGGGUGAGUGUUAUUCAGCAUUCUCCCCGGUUUCUGUUAUGUAUUCUAGAUUAUUAUGCUUCCAUCUUAAAUAUCACACACACACACGCCCUACCCUUUGAGAUUCAACACCACUCAAAUAUGUUACCCUCUAACUUCUUGCCACCAUUUUAAUUCCCACAUCGCAAAAGAUGUUGGCUUCUGUUUCUUUGCUCCAGACUUUAGUUCUGCCACCAUUUUGAGUGACUUCAGACAUCAAUUUGGGUAAUCUAUCCAGCACCACAGCUUUAUAGGUAUAGGUACAUCUCUAUUUUGAUUAUCUACUUUUUACACUUCACUAAGAAUUUAUGGUCAUGAAAAUAUGCUUGAUCUUGUCAUCAUCUGAAAUAACUACUCCUGUAAAAUGGUAAACUGAAAUGUCA
This 898-nucleotide long non-coding RNA is filed under the name Felis catus (domestic cat). RNAcentral's name for it is "lncRNA (ENSFCAG00000045104.2)". Lineage: Eukaryota; Metazoa; Chordata; Mammalia; Carnivora; Felidae. The record is from RNAcentral.